RNAcentral lists this ribosomal RNA (361 nucleotides) under Staphylococcus capitis. Its description in RNAcentral is "bacterial SSU rRNA". It matches the Rfam family "Bacterial small subunit ribosomal RNA", at positions 1 to 348 of the family's 1533-position model. The record is from RNAcentral. Lineage: Bacteria; Bacillati; Bacillota; Bacilli; Caryophanales; Staphylococcaceae.
UUUAUGGAGAGUUUGAUCCUGGCUCAGGAUGAACGCUGGCGGCGUGCCUAAUACAUGCAAGUCGAGCGAACAGACGAGGAGCUUGCUCCUCUGACGUUAGCGGCGGACGGGUGAGUAACACGUGGAUAACCUACCUAUAAGACUGGGAUAACUUCGGGAAACCGGAGCUAAUACCGGAUAACAUGUUGAACCGCAUGGUUCAACAGUGAAAGACGGUCUUGCUGUCACUUAUAGAUGGAUCCGCGCCGCAUUAGCUAGUUGGUAAGGUAACGGCUUACCAAGGCAACGAUGCGUAGCCGACCUGAGAGGGUGAUCGGCCACACUGGAACUGAGAGGGUGAUCGGCCACACUGGAACAGAGG